Molecule: long non-coding RNA, 686 nt
Organism: Sapajus apella (tufted capuchin)
Lineage: Eukaryota; Metazoa; Chordata; Mammalia; Primates; Cebidae
Exons: 3
Source: RefSeq, a predicted model, not a curated record
UAGCUGUGUGAUAAGCAUAAAAAAUAAUUUGCUGUUGAUGGAUGUAUGAAAGAUGCAUAGUGAGCACAAUCAGACAAGUGAAAAGACUGCACAACUCUGAACUGGCCUGUUAGAAAAACUUCAACUCAGAGGUAGAGCCAUUUACUGGGGACAAAGCUUAAUUAGCCUCUGUUCCUGCCACCAGGUGCCCAGACACUGCUUCAAGGAGCCAAGGAACUCAGUGGCUUUUCUAUCAUGACCUGACCUGGACUUAGCAUGAAGACAGACAGAGCUGCAUUCCUGGGAUUUCGAAGAAGAAAAUAAGAUUCUGUCAAGCCUGCGUUCAAUCAAAAUAUCCUCCCCUAUGGGCUCAUCUUGAGACAGACAGACAGACCAAGGCACUGGAGACCCAGGUAUAAAGUUCCAGAGAUGACUUCAAGGUGGCUAGUCAACAACACAGCCAUUGUUGAGAUGAGGCCAGCCCGAGAUCCAGUUGGACUGGGACCCAAGACAGCCACCAGAACCAGACACACAGACACACUACUCAGCACCAUUGUUGCAUGCCUUCCUUAUCAAGUUGUCCUGUUUUAAACCCCUGCCUCCCCGCCCCACACCACAAAAUUGAAGUGGUUGUUUUGGAUAGGAAUCCAGCCACUUCCCCUGGACUAAUCUUGGUUAGUAAAAAUCACUUUCUUUAUGCCAGACCU